AAUUUCAGCUCAACAAGACCAAAGGAAAUGCAGACAAAAGGGAGACACUCGAGUUUAGGAGAACUGCUGAACAUCAGGCUUCCAAUCAACUUUAAAGCAAAGUGCUGAAAAGCCACAAUACAUCCAAAACGGAUUCUCACUUUUAAAGAAUACCAGCUCAAGACAGUCACAACACAGCUUUCAACUUGAACAAAGUGAGUAGAACCACUUAUCUUGGAGCCAUAUUUUGA
This is a long non-coding RNA of Nothoprocta perdicaria, 230 nucleotides long. RefSeq lists it as uncharacterized. NCBI's taxonomy places the organism in Eukaryota, Metazoa, Chordata, Aves, Tinamiformes, Tinamidae. The transcript is spliced from 2 exons. The record is from RefSeq and is a predicted model, not a curated record.